AUGAACUCAUCCCUUAUUAGCUUGCUCUUGUAUAUUAUGAGAUUCUAUAGUUUGCAUGAAUCCCUUCAUCAGGAGAUCGCCAAGUACCUCUCCCGGUUCUUCUGGGCGGGAGAAGGCAAUAAGCAGAAAUACCAUAUGGUCAAGUGGUCCGAGAUCUGCAAGCCCAAGGAUCAAGGUGGUUUUGGUGUUAUCUCCUCAAAACGUAUGAAUAUCUCUCUUCUCGCCAAGUGGCUGUGGUGCAUUAAGACUGGUGCCAGCGGCCUGUGGUUGGAUAUUAUCCGCGCAAAGUAUCUACGCAGACAACCUCUCGCCUUUGCCCCCCGGGUUGGGGGAUCCCAGUUUUGGCAGUCAAUUAUUCAAUUGAUGUCGAUCCUCCGGAUCGGCACGUCGAUUGUUGUGGGCUCGAGCUCCAAUACAUUGUUCUGGCUGGACAGAUGGUCGGGAACCAGACCAUUCGCGCAAAGGUUCCAUGCCUUAUUCUCGAUUUGCUCCCACCCACGUCUUUCGGUGGGAGCCACCCUUCAUGACAUAUGCGCCAUCUCCUUUCGUCGCACCUUUGGGGAACUUGAGCGAGAGCAAUGGGACGAGCUUUUGGAGUGCGUGGCUCUGCACACUCCCUCGCUCGAACCGGACUCUGUUGCGUGGCACCUUGAGCCGACUGGGACAUUCUCCACUAAAUCCUUAUACCGCGCGAUCUUGCCGACUCCGGGUCCCAAUGAGCUUACAGUACUAUGGGAGAUCAAGUUACCACUUAAGAUUCGUACCUUCUUGUGGCAAUGGGUUCGCGGCAGCCUGCCCUCGGGCACGGAGGUCCAGAAGCGUAAUGGCCUGGGUGAUGGCCUUUGUCCCUUAUGUGGAGUUCCGGAAGACUCCAACCGUAUCUUCUUCCGGUGCCCGGCUGCACGAUUCCUAUGGAGUUGUUUUCGGGAUGUCGUGGGUGGGACAUGGUGCCAUGAUAGUCUCCCAGACUUGUUCAGGGAGAUCCUAGAUUCCCCCCUAUUAGUGGACCCUCCCUUUGGGUGGUAG
Molecule: ribosomal RNA, 1026 nt
Filed under: Triticum aestivum (bread wheat)
Lineage: Eukaryota; Viridiplantae; Streptophyta; Magnoliopsida; Poales; Poaceae
Description: partial small subunit ribosomal RNA
Source: RNAcentral